UGCCAUACAGUACACAGCAGUCCGCAGAGCCACAUUCUAGCUGUGAGACUCCUUUGCUGCUUGCUAUUUCUCCUGUACCCCUAUACCUCUCUAUUUUUGGUGAACACGUUUGAGUUAUCCUAUCCUUUGACCUACAGUAAUGACAGUUGUAACAGUUUGUUAACUUACAAGAAAUGACCCAUAGAAUUGGUUGUGGUGUAUAGCCCAACUUCCUGUUAUUCUGCCCACACAAUGUGUGAGUGCGGACAAAUGUUUAAGUAUUAAAGAUAGGACCAG
Non-coding RNA from Chelonoidis abingdonii (Abingdon island giant tortoise), 276 nucleotides. The record is from RefSeq and is a predicted model, not a curated record. Lineage: Eukaryota; Metazoa; Chordata; Testudines; Testudinidae.